This 254-nucleotide ribosomal RNA is filed under the name uncultured prokaryote. RNAcentral's name for it is "partial 16S ribosomal RNA". It matches the Rfam family "Bacterial small subunit ribosomal RNA", at positions 524 to 776 of the family's 1533-position model. The record is from RNAcentral.
UACGGGGGGAGCAAGCGUUGUUCGGAUUUACUGGGCGUAAAGGGCGCGUAGGCGGCCAGCACAAGUCAGUUGUGAAAUCUCCGGGCUUAACUCGGAAAGGUCAACUGAUACUGUGCGGCUAGAGUGCAGAAGGGGCAACUGGAAUUCUCGGUGUAGCGGUGAAAUGCGUAGAUAUCGGGAGGAACACCAGUGGCGAAGGCGAGUCUCUGGGAUGAUGCUGACGCUGAUGCGCGAAAGCCAGGGGAGCAAACGGG